RNAcentral lists this transfer RNA (66 nucleotides) under Splendrillia sp. 2 MNHN IM 2013-9750. Its description in RNAcentral is "tRNA-Arg". The record is from RNAcentral. Lineage: Eukaryota; Metazoa; Mollusca; Gastropoda; Neogastropoda; Drilliidae.
GUAUAAAAAGCGAAGGUUUGCGUUCGGUUUCGGCCCGUAUUUUGGGGAUAUUAUCCUCUUUAUACU